Molecule: ribosomal RNA, 720 nt
Filed under: uncultured Peptococcaceae bacterium
Lineage: Bacteria; Bacillati; Bacillota; Clostridia; Eubacteriales; Peptococcaceae
Description: bacterial SSU rRNA
Rfam family: Bacterial small subunit ribosomal RNA
Source: RNAcentral
CAUGCAAGUCGAACGAAAAGAGGGAAAGAGCUUGCUCUUUCCGGAAUUGAGUGGCAAACGGGUGAGUAACACGUAAACAACCUGCCUUCAGGAUGGGGACAACAGACGGAAACGACUGCUAAUACCGAAUAAGUUCCAAGAGCCGCAUGGCCCAUGGAAGAAAAGGUGGCCUCUACCUGUAAGCUAUCGCCUGAAGAGGGGUUUGCGUCUGAUUAGCUGGUUGGAGGGGUAACGGCCCACCAAGGCGACGAUCAGUAGCCGGUCUGAGAGGAUGAACGGCCACACUGGAACUGAGACACGGUCCAGACUCCUACGGGAGGCAGCAGUGGGGAAUCUUCCGCAAUGGGCGAAAGCCUGACGGAGCAACGCCGCGUGAGUGAUGACGGCCUUCGGGUUGUAAAACUCUGUGAUCCGGGACGAAAAGGCAGAGUGCGAAGAACAAACUGCAUUGACGGUACCGGAAAAGCAAGCCACGGCUAACUACGUGCCAGCAGCCGCGGUAAUACGUAGGUGGCAAGCGUUGUCCGGAAUUAUUGGGCGUAAAGCGCGCGCAGGCGGCUUCCCAAGUCCCUCUUAAAAGUGCGGGGCUUAACCCCGUGAUGGGAAGGAAACUGGGAAGCUGGAGUAUCGGAGAGGAAAGUGGAAUUCCUAGUGUAGCGGUGAAAUGCGUAGAGAUUAGGAAGAACACCGGUGGCGAAGGCGACUUUCUGGACGAAAACU